UACAGAGGUCUCAAGCGUUGUUCGGAUUCAUUGGGCGUAAAGGGUGCGUAGGCGGCGCGGUAAGUCGGGUGUGAAAUCUUGGAGCUUAACUCCGAAACUGCAUUCGAUACUGCAGUGCUUGAGGACUGGAGAGGAGACUGGAAUUUACGGUGUAGCGGUGAAAUGCGUAGAUAUCGUAAGGAAGACCAGUGGCGAAGGCGGGUCUCUGGACAGUUCCUGACGCUGAGGCACGAAGGCCAGGGGAGCAAACGGG
This 253-nucleotide ribosomal RNA is filed under the name uncultured bacterium. Its description in RNAcentral is "partial 16S ribosomal RNA". It matches the Rfam family "Bacterial small subunit ribosomal RNA", at positions 524 to 776 of the family's 1533-position model. The record is from RNAcentral.